AAGAUUUUAGUUAAAAAUAUAACAAAAGCUUGUCGAGCUUUAAUUACUUUUAUAAAGUAAAUCUUA
This 66-nucleotide transfer RNA is filed under the name Mooreobdella quaternaria. Its description in RNAcentral is "tRNA-Asp". The record is from RNAcentral. Lineage: Eukaryota; Metazoa; Annelida; Clitellata; Hirudinida; Erpobdellidae.